RNAcentral lists this unclassified non-coding RNA (446 nucleotides) under rhizosphere metagenome. Its description in RNAcentral is "partial ribosomal RNA internal transcribed spacer region". The record is from RNAcentral.
UUUCAGGCAGCCACCCGCUGAAGCCUCCCGCAGCGACUAUAAAAAACGCGUCAGUCCGCCUGGCGGGCGACACCACGAUCCUACUGGGACUCUUGCACCUACCUUUGACGGUGCAGAUACCAGUGGCCUGUGCAACAGGUUCACAGAUCAAACAGUGGUGGCCAUCAUAUGGUUAAGAUAUGACCGGUCUCCGCUGUAACCAGCUGGAGAAGACACGUUCCGUAGGUGAACCUGCGGAAGGAUCAUUACAGAGUUAGGGUCUUUCAAGGCUCAACCUCCAACCCUAUGCGUAUCUACCUUUGUUGCUUUGGCGGGCCCGUUGGGGCGACCCACCGGCGGCCUUUGGCCCCUGAGUGCCCGUCAGAGACCCAUCAAAUCCUGUCAAUUGUGUCGUCUGAGUACAAACAUAAUAAUUAAAACUUUCAACAACGGAUCUCUUGGUUCUG